Long non-coding RNA from Humulus lupulus (European hop), 3785 nucleotides. RefSeq lists it as uncharacterized. Lineage: Eukaryota; Viridiplantae; Streptophyta; Magnoliopsida; Rosales; Cannabaceae. The transcript is spliced from 2 exons. The record is from RefSeq and is a predicted model, not a curated record.
UUUUGAAGAAAUUGAGAAAGGUGGUGAGUCAUGGAAAAGCAAAGAAAAAGAACUAUUCCACCCUCAGAAGCUACCCAAGAAAAAGAAGCAUAGAGAAAAACCUCAAUCACAAAUGUUGGAAGUUGGGAAGAGAGUGUUUUUCUCAAACUUUCUAGUGAAAUCAAGUUGUGAUGGCGGGUUCUUAGUGAGCAAGGUGUUUCCCAAUGGUGUGGUGGAAUUAUAUGAUGAGCAUUUGGAUAGAGCAUUUAAGGUGACAAGGACAGGGUAAAGUUUGGGGGAAGCGAGGUUGAGCAAUACCAAACCUCGGUUUCCUUGAAAGAUCCUUAGAAAAAAAAAGUGAAGUUUGGGUUGCUAUGGUUCUUGGAGGAUUUAUUUGUAAAGCAACUCAAAGAAAGAAUAAAAAUUCAUAAUAAUACAAAAAAAAAUGAAUGAUGAAAAAAUAUGUUUAAAAAAAAUAGAAAAAAAGAUCAAUUUCAAAAGAAAAAAAAUGAAAAAAAAAAUAUUAGUGUUUUUAGUUUUUUUCAUUUUAAUUUUUGUUAUGUUAAUUUCAUUUUAUUGUAAUAUUUUUUGGAGUGGUUUUAUGUUUUUUGUUUUUUUGUUUUAGGUGUUAAAGGAUAAGCAAAUGGUGUUUUGAGAGUAAUUUGGAGGUCUGAUAGUUUUGUGGAAAUUUAUCUGGAGAAAUUUUUUUGGAUUUGGGACAAGAGCUAGUCAGAACACUCUGCGAUGCAUCACAGAAUUCAAGUGUGGACUCGCGAGUUUUUUCUGAAAAUAAAAAAAAAGUACAAAUAAUAAUGGUACAGAAAAAAAAAGGAACACCAAUUCCCUAGCCCGAUUCCUUCUUUCUCUCUCUACCAUGUUCAUCUUCUUCAUCCUUCACCACCGAGCCCCACCGCCUGCAAAACCAGCACCAAACCCAGCUCCGUGUUCGCCCCUGCCUAGCAACCCAAACCUGUUCGCAAAUCCAGACCAGCACAAAAAUCUCCUGAGCCCCCUGCAUCUCUUUCCGACAACCCAGGCGCAAAGCUUCUCCUCCCACGAAACUUCAUCUCCGACCACCACAACUCCAAGUCACCUGCCCUGAUCCCGCAGACCACACCUCGCGAGAUCUCUGAUCCCGUUGCGCCACCCAGGCCUAGCGCACCCCAGGCGACUGCCUGCGCAUCCCAUCGCACCCAGAAAAAAUAAUCGACCCUAAAUCCAGCAUCAUGAGCCCUUGGUUGUGUGACCAAACAACUCGAGACCCUGUGACCCCAGGCGAAAUUCCGACUGCCACCGUCGGCCCAAGGAGCACCCAGCUCCGUUUGUGAAUCCUCACAACUUGAGAGCUCGACCCACCUCCAUUUUUCACCUCGAGACCCCAUCUGAGCCCUCACCUGAGCAUUCAAUAGUCUCUUAGUUCACAGGCUAUUCUGUAUUUUAGAUGACCAAGUCAGAAUGUGGCUUCCAUUAGAUUCAAAGGGGCCUUAUUUUCUCUAUCACUGAUUAUAGAUUGUGUGUUCAUCAUUGGUUUUGCUAAUUGAUAAGCAGGAGGACAUAUUGCGUGGUUGCCCAAGUCUGUAAUGUUGAUGGUGAUCUGUGAUUUGUGAGCCCCGCAACCACUUUUGUCCAAAUUUUGACCCCAAACGGCAACUGCUAGAACUAAAGUUCCCAAGUGAAAGGCACCCAACUCCUCAACUCCACAACCAACCAAACAGAAGGCCUUUGAUCUAAAUCGUCCCUAUCUUUUUGGAUGACAAUCCCAAAGGAUAGGCAGGGGAGUGUUCACAUCUCAACUCAUUUUUAUUUCUUUAAUUUGUUGUUUUUAUUGUUCUGUGGCUGUAAUCUUGUUGUUUUAGUGUUUUGUUCAUGUAUUGGUCUUGUUUUUAGUUGUCUUUGCAUUGUUGUGUUGUCGUUCUUUUGAGGAUUUUAUUUGUCUUUGUUAGUGUUCACUAGGGGGCUCGAUGACGAUCUUGAAAAACUACAAAAAUAUAAUAAAUCUAAGUUGAAGCUGAAUGUCUUUCUUACUUAAGUUUCAAACUAAAAUUAUUUGGGUGUGAAUGUUGCUAACAAUUGAUUGAUGAGAGUGUUUUCUUUUUAGUGUGUGCAUAGAUUGAUUAAACAUUUUUGAGACCCUAGAAAGAACUAGUUUCUAGAAUUACUUAGUGGCUUUCCUUGAGGCAAAAUCCUAGACAUCAUUACACCAAAGACAUGAUUUAAGCCAUCUUUGGACUGUUUGAGUAUGUUAAGCCUACCCUUUAUGCAUUUUUAUCCCUAGUUACCCCCGUUGAGCUUAAUAGUCACUUUUCUUUCUUAGCCAGUUUAAAAAAAAUUAUUAUGUUUGCAAAUAAGUUUGGGGUGUAACUCUUCAAAUAAAAGAAAAGUUUGUUUUAGUUUUUGUCUUGGUAUGUUAGUAAUAAAGGCUAGUGGCAAGAGUUAUAUUUUGUUGUGGGGUGUUCUUUGGGGAAAUUAAUGUGUGCAUUGAUUUAGGUCCUAGAAAGAUUGAGGUGCUUAGGGUGAUUUGAGCCAAAAUUAAUCUCUCUUAUUUUACUUUCACUCUAGCCUAUUAUUACAAGCUUGAUAAAAUCCUACUGAUCUUUGGUGUGUUGUUUGUCUACAUUAGUGGAAAGGGAAGCACUAAGUAACUUAUGGAGGCAUUAUUUAAGCUUUAGGACCAAGGUCGAGUUUGAUUUGGGUGAUCGAAAAUGCUUAGGAAAAGUUAUGCAUAUACUAAAGAGUGAAACACUUUACUCAUAUUUUGACAGCAAUAUUAAUGCUUGAAGAGUUUGGUUUAAAGCUUGUAUAAGUUUGAAAUUCAGUUUCUCUUAUUCAAAAUAAAAUUUCCUAGAGCUUUCCCCUUUUAGCAUUGGCAAAGCAAAGUUAUCCUCUUUUGUUGUGUCUUGUCCUUGUUGUUUUCCUUUUCUUUUUGUUGUUUAAUUUGUGUCUUUUGUUAUCUUUUUAGAUUCAUCACUCGAGGACGAGUAAUGUCUUAAGUUUGGGGGUGUGAUAACUCUUCAAUAAAGAAUUAUUUUUUAUACUUUUGAGCUUAUAAUUUUAGAAUUAGGUUGAGUGAUGUUUGUGUAUUUUGUUAUUUUUAGUUAAUUCUUUUCCUUUUGUGUUAUUGUGUCAUUUUUGGUGUUUUAGAGCUGAAGGUAGCAAUUAAGGAAUUUAGGUAUGAGAUUGUCCAAAGAAAAUAAUGAAAAGUGAAAAGGUUCUUAUUUGUUUAUUGUGUGUUGAAAUAUUAGGUUUGCUAGAGCAGAAGAAGUUUUGUUGGAGCAUUUUCAAUAGGAAUCAAAGAAGAAAAGUCGUCAUAUAAGAGAAAGACAAGUGACAAUUCAUUAAAUGAUUUGUUUAAGGGUGGUGAGGUGGCAACAAAUCAGAAUAUUAGCUGCAUUUUAGAAGGAAGAUUCUAGAGAAAAAGGAGGAGGCUCACAUAUAGUGCUUGGUGGGAAUUUUUGGCAAGAGAGAAAAGAGGGUUUUGUACCCUAGCUAAAAAAUGGAGAAAAUGACAACCUCCAUUACCCAAUUCAGCCAUUAUUCUAGAGAGAGAACCACCAAGUAUAAGACUUUUCUGCAGUACAAAAAAGGAAAUAGAAGAAGGAAGAAGAGGAAAGAAGAGAAGCUUGCUUCCGUCAUCAUCUUUUGGGCUAUUUCUUCUCUCUUGUCAUUUCUUUCCUAUUUCCCCUUUUGUAUUUGGUGUUUAAACUCUCUUGGAUAGAUUUAAUUUUGUAUCUGUUUUUAUUGUUUUAGAUAUGAACUAGAUCCUUUGACGCCUGGAUUAUUAAUGAACUCUAUAUCUUAAUUUUAAA